RNAcentral lists this ribosomal RNA (253 nucleotides) under uncultured bacterium. RNAcentral describes it as "partial 16S ribosomal RNA". It matches the Rfam family "Bacterial small subunit ribosomal RNA", at positions 524 to 776 of the family's 1533-position model. The record is from RNAcentral.
UACGUAGGGCGCAAGCGUUGUCCGGAAUUAUUGGGCGUAAAGAGCUCGUAGGCGGUCUGUCGCGUCGGCUGUGAAAACCCAGGGCUCAACCCUGGGCCUGCAGUCGAUACGGGCAGACUAGAGUCCGGCAGGGGAGACUGGAAUUCCUGGUGUAGCGGUGAAAUGCGCAGAUAUCAGGAGGAACACCGGUGGCGAAGGCGGGUCUCUGGGCCGGAACUGACGCUGAGGAGCGAAAGCGUGGGGAGCGAACAGG